UUAAAAAGCUCGUAGUUGGAUCAGAGUUCGACAGUGCAAGGUGGCCUCGCUUGCUCAUUUGGCUCCGGUCAUGUGUGCGGCGGCGGAUCAACCCCUUGCGCCAAACUGUCGUCUCUAACAGACCGAAGCGGUUCCCUGUGAGUAGGCCACUUAAUUGGGGCUGAAAGCGUUUACGCAUUAACCACAUGCAUACGGGACAUCGGUCAAAGUUACUGUGAACAAACCAGCGUGUCCAAAACAGGCUUUGCCUGAAUGUUCGAGCAUGGAAUAACAAGGGAUCGAUUCUCUCGGUUCUUUUUGUUGGUUUUUAACCCGAGAAGGAGUAAUUCAGGCCAAGGUGUCUGGGCUGGGUUCCCCUUACCUUCGGGUAAGGCCCCAGUUAAGGCCUUGUCCUUACGGGAUAAAUAGGGACUGACGGGGUCGUACGUACUUCCCCGUCAGAGGUGAAAUUCUUAGAUCCUGGG
Molecule: ribosomal RNA, 464 nt
Filed under: uncultured marine eukaryote
Lineage: Eukaryota
Description: bacterial SSU rRNA
Rfam family: Eukaryotic small subunit ribosomal RNA
Source: RNAcentral